GCCAUGCAUGUCUCAGUGCAGCCGUACGCGUUCGCGCGUCUAGGUGAAACCGCGAAAGGCUCAUUAAAUCAGUUAUGGUUCCUUGGGUCGUACCCAUCAGUUACUUGGAUAACUGUGGUAAUUCUAGAGCUAAUACAUGCCGACAGAGUUCCGACCGCCUCGUGCGGGAGGAACGCUUUUAUUAGAUCAAAACCCAUCGGUACGAAGCCUCACGGCUUCGUACCGACAACAUUCGGUCCGUUCGCGGGCCGACCAAGUGGUGACUCUGAAUAACUUUGUGCUGAUCGCACGGUCUCAGUGCUGGCGAUGCAUCUUUCAAAUGUCUGCCUUAUCAACUGUCGAUGGUAGGUUAUGCGCCUACCAUGGUGGUAACGGGUGACGGGGGAUUAGGGUUCGAUCCCGGAGAGGGAGCCUGAGAAACGGCUACCACAUCCAAGGAAGGCAGCAGGCACGCAAAUUACCCACUCCCAGCUCAGGGGAGGUAGUGACGAAAUAUAACGAUACGGGACUCAUCCGAGGCCUCGUAAUCGGAAUGAGUGCACUUUAAAAAGUUCGACGAGGAUCCAUUGGAGGGCA
Molecule: ribosomal RNA, 576 nt
Filed under: Powellia irregularis
Lineage: Eukaryota; Metazoa; Arthropoda; Insecta; Hemiptera; Triozidae
Description: SSU rRNA
Rfam family: Eukaryotic small subunit ribosomal RNA
Source: RNAcentral